AGCUGUGCACAGUGGCAAUAUCGUAGCCAAUGAGGUUUAUCUGAGGCACGAUUAUUGCUAAUUGAAAACUUUUCCCAAUACCCCACCAUGACGACUUGAAAUAUAGUCAGCACUGGCAAUGUUUAAGUCUCUACGGAGA
RNAcentral lists this small nuclear RNA (139 nucleotides) under Aotus nancymaae (Ma's night monkey). RNAcentral describes it as "U4 spliceosomal RNA (ENSANAG00000007699.1)". It matches the Rfam family "U4 spliceosomal RNA". From Rfam's summary of the family: U4 small nuclear RNA (U4 snRNA) is a component of the major U2-dependent spliceosome. The structure of U4 snRNA from yeast and human has been reported. The record is from Rfam by way of RNAcentral. Lineage: Eukaryota; Metazoa; Chordata; Mammalia; Primates; Aotidae.